GUGACACCGCACACAAUGUUGUUUCCUCAGCAGCAUGACGGACACAGAAAGCAUCAGCUGAUUCACUGAGGAUUCUCUACGGAAACUCCAGGGUUUCCACCAGAUGUUGAAACCUGGCUGCAGGGAUUAACUCACAUUCAGACAGCUUCCAACGUCUAGUGGAAAGCCUGAAAGCUUUAGCGUAACACCGAUGUUGGGUGACAAGGCCUGGCUCACAGUCAGCGUUCCGGGUCAUCCCAAAGGGCGGAUGUUUCACUGCAUGUUGCUGCAUCCUGGUGGUCAAAAGAAGAACUGCAGCAUCUGUUUUUCUAACUACACACACUCAGUUUAGCAAAAUUUGCAUCAGAGCCCAUUUUUAGUUCAUCACAUUCAUGCAACCCCCCUUGCAGUGGCACUGUGCCUCCCCCCCAGUUAGAGAACCACUGCUGUGGAGCAAGGGCAGAUAUUUCAUGUCACUGUUGGUGGGAACAAGAAAAACAUCUCCCAACUGGAUCAAACCACUGUGAGGCAUAGGAGAGGGAGGACAUAACUUUUUUUAAAUGUGUUGGACCGUUUGUGUACCAAAUACAUUGACUAGACGUGGACAACAGUGGUUCUAUGUAAUAGUUUGGAUCAAAAUUGUUGCUAGGGACAAUUCUACUUAAUUCUACACCCUAUGUUGUGACAAAGACCACAUAGGGAAGAGGCCAGGGUGGAUGGACAAAUGAACAACAAAUGAAUUCAUUUUUAUGUAUUUUCCUAAAUCAUGUUUUUUUUGUGUACUCAAAGGAAUAUAAAUGAAAUUGAUGUUAGUUUGUUCAUUUAAAGAAUGGCAUUUUAACUGUUACAAAUGGUGUUUUAUUCUUACAACAUGAAAUCACAGUGGAUUUAAUUAGGCUUUUUUUUUUUAUCUAGAUCAACAGAAAAAUCCAGUUUUACUUGAUAUUAAACUGUGCAGCCACUUGCUAUUAAAAGUCACAUAAAUGGUUAAAUGGGGACCACCUGAAUGUCCACAAGGGUUUUCAACUUAUUAUAGAAUAAAUACACCAUUAUCUGGAAGGUCCAAGUGUUUUGGCAAAAUCUACACCGUGAAACCUCAAGAACAGGAAAUAGGGAUUUCAAAGCCCAAGUCAGGGAUGGAUAUAUAUUUCCAAGUUCCUAUAUCUCCCCUGGAGUACAGUGAAAUCAAGAAAUGGAAAAUGUUUGGUACAAUCUGCCUAGAGCAUCCCCGCCACAGAAAGUGAGUCACAGUGCAAGAGCUAGUGAGAAGGCUUCAAGACCAAUUACUACUGUGAGGGAGUUACAAGCUUCCACAGAUGUAUGGGAGAGAGGCAAGGAGAACAGCUUUUACUCUUGAAACAGCUAUGAGAGUGGUGAGAGUGAACCAGAACAGUAAAGUUGUGUAUCGGACAGAUAAACAGUGAGCUUUUGAGUUCAUGGACACAGUCAAGAUGUCGGUCUUGGUUUAGGUUUUUAAUAACUUUAUAACUAUGGACUUGUAGCUGUUUUUGGCAGAGUCGCUGUUUGGAGGAAGCUUGGAUCCAGCAGAUU
This is a long non-coding RNA of Micropterus salmoides (largemouth bass), 1530 nucleotides long. RefSeq lists it as uncharacterized. The transcript has 3 exons. Lineage: Eukaryota; Metazoa; Chordata; Actinopteri; Centrarchiformes; Centrarchidae. The record is from RefSeq and is a predicted model, not a curated record.